This 1528-nucleotide ribosomal RNA is filed under the name Klebsiella pneumoniae. RNAcentral's name for it is "bacterial SSU rRNA". It matches the Rfam family "Bacterial small subunit ribosomal RNA". The record is from RNAcentral. Lineage: Bacteria; Pseudomonadati; Pseudomonadota; Gammaproteobacteria; Enterobacterales; Enterobacteriaceae.
AGAGUUUGAUCAUGGCUCAGAUUGAACGCUGGCGGCAGGCCUAACACAUGCAAGUCGAGCGGUAGCACAGAGAGCUUGCUCUCGGGUGACGAGCGGCGGACGGGUGAGUAAUGUCUGGGAAACUGCCUGAUGGAGGGGGAUAACUACUGGAAACGGUAGCUAAUACCGCAUAAUGUCGCAAGACCAAAGUGGGGGACCUUCGGGCCUCAUGCCAUCAGAUGUGCCCAGAUGGGAUUAGCUAGUAGGUGGGGUAACGGCUCACCUAGGCGACGAUCCCUAGCUGGUCUGAGAGGAUGACCAGCCACACUGGAACUGAGACACGGUCCAGACUCCUACGGGAGGCAGCAGUGGGGAAUAUUGCACAAUGGGCGCAAGCCUGAUGCAGCCAUGCCGCGUGUGUGAAGAAGGCCUUCGGGUUGUAAAGCACUUUCAGCGGGGAGGAAGGCGUUGAGGUUAAUAACCUUGUCGAUUGACGUUACCCGCAGAAGAAGCACCGGCUAACUCCGUGCCAGCAGCCGCGGUAAUACGGAGGGUGCAAGCGUUAAUCGGAAUUACUGGGCGUAAAGCGCACGCAGGCGGUCUGUCAAGUCGGAUGUGAAAUCCCCGGGCUUAACCUGGGAACUGCAUUCGAAACUGGCAGGCUAGAGUCUUGUAGAGGGGGGUAGAAUUCCAGGUGUAGCGGUGAAAUGCGUAGAGAUCUGGAGGAAUACCGGUGGCGAAGGCGGCCCCCUGGACAAAGACUGACGCUCAGGUGCGAAAGCGUGGGGAGCAAACAGGAUUAGAUACCCUGGUAGUCCACGCCGUAAACGAUGUCGAUUUGGAGGUUGUGCCCUUGAGGCGUGGCUUCCGGAGCUAACGCGUUAAAUCGACCGCCUGGGGAGUACGGCCGCAAGGUUAAAACUCAAAUGAAUUGACGGGGGCCCGCACAAGCGGUGGAGCAUGUGGUUUAAUUCGAUGCAACGCGAAGAACCUUACCUGGUCUUGACAUCCACAGAACUUUCCAGAGAUGGAUUGGUGCCUUCGGGAACUGUGAGACAGGUGCUGCAUGGCUGUCGUCAGCUCGUGUUGUGAAAUGUUGGGUUAAGUCCCGCAACGAGCGCAACCCUUAUCCUUUGUUGCCAGCGGUCCGGCCGGGAACUCAAAGGAGACUGCCAGUGAUAAACUGGAGGAAGGUGGGGAUGACGUCAAGUCAUCAUGGCCCUUACGACCAGGGCUACACACGUGCUACAAUGGCAUAUACAAAGAGAAGCGACCUCGCGAGAGCAAGCGGACCUCAUAAAGUAUGUCGUAGUCCGGAUUGGAGUCUGCAACUCGACUCCAUGAAGUCGGAAUCGCUAGUAAUCGUAGAUCAGAAUGCUACGGUGAAUACGUUCCCGGGCCUUGUACACACCGCCCGUCACACCAUGGGAGUGGGUUGCAAAAGAAGUAGGUAGCUUAACCUUCGGGAGGGCGCUUACCACUUUGUGAUUCAUGACUGGGGUGAAGUCGUAACAAGGUAACCGUAGGGGAACCUGCGGUUGGAUCACCU